UUGGGCCAAAUAUGGUAAAUAUACAUUUUAGAUCAACGGCAACCAUUAAAUUAAAUCAAUAUACUUAGGCAAAGCAAAAAAAAAACAAUAUUCAUAAAAUGAUUGUACCAACGAUGAUGGCAAGUUUGGUGAGUUUGAAUUCUACUAAAAUAAAAUCGAUUUCAUGGAGCUGAAAAUAGACUAUGACUAGACUACGUCACCACAUCAUCAUCUUCGUUCGCAUCUCUCUAUAGAAGAAUAAUUGGCCUGACUCUUCCAACGAAAAACACAAAAUAGAUCAUUUUGUAUAAACAAUUUGCCACAUACAAUCCCACCACUUGUGUAUUAUUUUAUUUUAUAGCCCCCAGAGUAUUUUUUCCCUCGUAAGGUAGAUCGAAGUAGUCGGAAUUUUCAGUUUUUUACCUGUUCUUGAACGGUUCAGUUCGGUUUUGAGUUUUCGAGUGCUCCAAAUGGAAUUAAAUUUUCGUUUCAAAAUAACAAAACAAAAAUAAAAUAUAAAUUCGUGAUGGAAACAAAACAAAGGGAUUUCAAAACAAAAAAAAAACAAACCUAUAUCAAGUACACCAUGACUGAUUGGGAUAUUUUCGAGAAGCUCUAAAGGCCGGGCCACAAUAAAUCAGCCAACAAAUAAAACGAGAUGAUUCAUUGUCCGUGACGAAUGUCUUUCAACCGAAGACAAUGCAAUUAGCAUAAAUGCCAAAAAUAUUUUACAUUUUUGCACUUGGCUCGACAUGUGAUUCAUCCAUAAUCAACAUCAUCGUCACCAUGAUAGAUGUGAUGUGAUUCGGUGCGGCAAGGUUGUUGAUUUGAAAACUACACGUGUAACGACAUUUGACGAGAUUUUGAUAAAAUCUAUUAAUUUUCAAUAAAGAUUGACGACUGUCUGUCAAAUUUUUGCUUUGUAAAAUUUUAACAAACAAGAUUGAAAAUAAAAAAGUACAUUUGGAAAAUAUAAAA
This is a long non-coding RNA of Eupeodes corollae, 957 nucleotides long. RefSeq lists it as uncharacterized. The transcript is spliced from 2 exons. Lineage: Eukaryota; Metazoa; Arthropoda; Insecta; Diptera; Syrphidae. The record is from RefSeq and is a predicted model, not a curated record.